UUGACAUUCUUAACGUGAAGGCAUACUUUCAGGAGUGAGGGUAGAGCGGGGUUUCCCCCGCCCUGGUAGUCUUAGUAUGCUGGGUAGCUAAUCACUAAGAGCACCACGAUGAUGAGUAUCUUCAUCAUGACCCUUUCCUUAUU
This 143-nucleotide small RNA is filed under the name Escherichia coli O157:H7 str. K6590. RNAcentral's name for it is "QUAD RNA". It matches the Rfam family "Short Intergenic Abundant RNA". From Rfam's summary of the family: This family contains multiple ncRNA from E. coli that were identified in a large scale screen of E. coli, were they were called candidates 43,55 and 61. These RNAs have also been identified by other groups and called QUAD RNAs. Lineage: Bacteria; Pseudomonadati; Pseudomonadota; Gammaproteobacteria; Enterobacterales; Enterobacteriaceae. The record is from RNAcentral.